GAUGAACGCUGGCGGCGUGCUUAACACAUGCAAGUCGAGCGGAAAGGCUCCUGCUUGCAGGGGUACUCGAGUGGCGAACGGGUGAGCAACACGUGGGUGAUCUGCCCUGCACUUCGGGAUAAGCCUGGGAAACUGGGUCUAAUACCGGAUAGGACCACAUUUUGGAUGGUGUGGUGGAAAGUUUUUCGGUGUGGGAUGAGCUCGCGGCCUAUCAGCUUGUUGGUGGGGUAAUGGCCUACCAAGGCGUCGACGGGUAGCCGGCCUGAGAGGGUGUACGGCCACAUUGGGACUGAGAUACGGCCCAGACUCCUACGGGAGGCAGCAGUGGGGAAUAUUGCACAAUGGGCGGAAGCCUGAUGCAGCGACGCCGCGUGGGGGAUGACGGCCUUCGGGUUGUAAACUCCUUUCGCUAGGGACGAAGCGCAAGUGACGGUACCUGGAGAAGAAGCACCGGCUAACUACGUG
RNAcentral lists this ribosomal RNA (465 nucleotides) under uncultured bacterium. RNAcentral describes it as "partial 16S ribosomal RNA". It matches the Rfam family "Bacterial small subunit ribosomal RNA", at positions 28 to 507 of the family's 1533-position model. The record is from RNAcentral.